RNAcentral lists this long non-coding RNA (459 nucleotides) under Callithrix jacchus (white-tufted-ear marmoset). Its description in RNAcentral is "lncRNA (ENSCJAG00000072608.1)". Lineage: Eukaryota; Metazoa; Chordata; Mammalia; Primates; Cebidae. The record is from RNAcentral.
CUGCACGGCAAUUCUCAGGGAGGAGCAUGGAUUGUGUUCAUGUAUAAAGAAACACUGUUGAUGUGCAGAGGAAUGUGGAUGUGAUAGUUUCCAGCCUCUGGCAGACAGGGUCUUGCUAUUCGUCCAGGCUGGAGCAUCGCCUUACCAAAGGCUUGGAUUCCUGGGCUCAAGAAAUCCUACCACCUCAGACUCUAGAGUAGCUGGGACUACAGUCGAAAUCUUUCCUCAGAGGGGGCAAGAAAUGAAGUUGCUGCAGACCUACGUGGAUAAUUACCACCACUAGCAGAGGGGCGCAAGGGAGUCUCCUGAAGUACUGGAAGUUUCUAUAUCUUUUUCAGAGUGGUGGGUACACAGGUGCACACAUAUAUAAAAAUGUAUUCAUCUGCAUACUUGAAGUUUUACACACUUUGUAUAAUUUAUUAAUCAACCAAAAAAGCAAAACUAACCUAAUGCAUAAAA